AUUGAACGCUGGCGGCAUGCUUUACACAUGCAAGUCGAACGGUAACAGGUUAAGCUGACGAGUGGCGAACGGGUGAGUAAUGCAUCGGAACGUGCCCGAUCGUGGGGGAUAACGCAGCGAAAGCUGCGCUAAUACCGCAUACGAUCUGAGGAUGAAAGCGGGGGACCGUAAGGCCUCGCGCGAUCGGAGCGGCCGAUGUCAGAUUAGGUAGUUGGUGGGGUAAAGGCACACCAAGCCGACGAUCUGUAGCUGGUCUGAGAGGACGACCAGCCACACUGGGACUGAGACACGGCCCAGACUCCUACGGGAGGCAGCAGUGGGGAAUUUUGGACACUGGGCGAAAGCCUGAUUCAGCAAUGCCGCGUGCAGGAAGAAGGCCUUCGGGUUGUAAACUGCUUUUGUACGGAGCGAAAAGGUCCUUUCUAAUACAAGGGGCUCAUGACGGUACCGUAAGAAUAAGCACCGGCUAACUACGUGCCAGCCGCCGCCGUAA
Molecule: ribosomal RNA, 493 nt
Filed under: uncultured bacterium
Lineage: Bacteria
Description: partial 16S ribosomal RNA
Rfam family: Bacterial small subunit ribosomal RNA
Source: RNAcentral